GAUGGAAGAACGCAGCGAAAUGCGAUAAGUAAUGUGAAUUGCAGAAUUCAGUGAAUCAUCGAAUCUUUGAACGCACAUUGCGCCCGCCAGUAUUCUGGCGGGCAUGCCUGUUCGAGCGUCAUUUCAACCAUCAAGCCCCCGGGCUUGUGUUGGGGACCUGCGGCUGCCGCAGGCCCUGAAAACCAGUGGCGGGCUCGCUAGUCACCCCGAGCGUAGUAGUUACAUCUCGCUCAGGGCGUGCUGCGGGUUCCGGCCGUUAAAAGCCUUUUACCCCAAGGUUGACCUCGGAUCAGGUAGGAAGACCCGCUGAACUUAAGCAUAUCAAUAAGCGGAGGA
This 336-nucleotide unclassified non-coding RNA is filed under the name soil metagenome. RNAcentral's name for it is "partial contains 5.8S ribosomal RNA, internal transcribed spacer 2, and large subunit ribosomal RNA". The stretch from base 5 to 121 matches the Rfam family "5.8S ribosomal RNA", at positions 38 to 154 of the family's 154-position model. The record is from RNAcentral.